This 77-nucleotide transfer RNA is filed under the name Peptostreptococcaceae bacterium. RNAcentral's name for it is "tRNA-Asp". It matches the Rfam family "tRNA". From Rfam's summary of the family: Transfer RNA (tRNA) molecules are approximately 80 nucleotides in length. Their secondary structure includes four short double-helical elements and three loops (D, anti-codon, and T loops). The record is from RNAcentral. Lineage: Bacteria; Bacillati; Bacillota; Clostridia; Peptostreptococcales; Peptostreptococcaceae.
GGCCUGGUAGUUCAGUUGGUUAGAACGCCGGCCUGUCACGCCGGAGGUCGAGAGUUCGAGUCUCUUCCAGGUCGCCA